This 250-nucleotide ribosomal RNA is filed under the name uncultured bacterium. Its description in RNAcentral is "partial 16S ribosomal RNA". It matches the Rfam family "Bacterial small subunit ribosomal RNA", at positions 524 to 773 of the family's 1533-position model. RNAcentral also lists the same sequence under 1 other name. The record is from RNAcentral.
UACGGAGGAUGCAAGCGUUAUCCGGAUUCAUUGGGUUUAAAGGGUGCGCAGGCGGAUUGGUAAGUCAGGGGUGAAAUCCCACAGCUCAACUGUGGAACUGCCUUUGAUACUGUCAGUCUAGAGUAUAGUUGAAGUUGGCGGAAUGUGUCAUGUAGCGGUGAAAUGCUUAGAUAUGACACAGAACACCGAUCGCGAAGGCAGCUAGCUAAGCUAUAACUGACGCUCAUGCACGAAAGCGUGGGGAUCAAAC